GGGUGCGGCAUCCGGGAUCUGGCGCGGCUUUUGCUUGUAGCUCCAGCCAGAGCUCGGUUAGGGCCUCAUCGCUCUGCUCCCGCUCCUUAGGGAAGCCUCGGUGAUUCUGCCACAGCCUCAGCCUCUGUGGCUCUGUGACCUGCCGGUAUUGGAUGAUUCGUAUCUAAGACUCUGGGACACUCCUGAAGUCGGGAAAUGGUCACUACAGGAAAAGAUAUCUUCAUUAAAGUGCAACAGCACACUGAGAGCAACACACCACCACAGCAGUUAAUUUUGGAAAGGCCACUGUAAGCUCCACUAGUGACUGACAUUUUACAGAUGACAGAUUGAAGCAAGCAGCAACAUUGAAUGCUUUAUCAGGGCAAUUGCUGAAGGUUUCUCUCUGGAUCUGGAUGAAUCAUAAAUUUGGGCAACUCUGUAAAUUCUUGGAAAAGCCUAUGUGGUAUCUGAGGUAAUCUUUUCUACCUGAUUCCAUGCCACUGGUCUCCAUUCCUGGGAAGAGAUUCAGCACCAGCAGCACAUACCACUGUGAGGGCAAGUACAAAAUACCUGCUUUUAGUAGAUGAUAUAGUUCUUCUGUAAAACUUCAUUUCCAAAAAAAGGACUAUCAUCCUGUUAAAUCUGUGGACUAGAGAUCCUUGUUACAUGCCCAGGAUUACCUAUUUUAAGUAUAACUUUGUUGGAUGCCUAGUGACAUGCUUUGGCUGUGUCUCCACCCAAACCUCAUCUUGAAUUAUAGCUCCUAUAAUUCCCAUACGUUGUGAGAGGGACCUGGUGGGAGAUAAUUGAAUCAUGGGGGCAGUUUCCCCAAUAUUGUUCUCCUGGCAGUGAAUAAGUCUCAAUAGUUCUGAUGGUUUUAUACAGGGAAACCUGUUUCACUUGCUUCUCUCAUUCUCUCAUAUCUGCUGCCAAGUAAGAUGUGCCUUUUGCCUUCUGACAUGAUUGAGAGGCCUCCCCAGCAAUGUGGAAUGUGAGUCCAUUAAACAUCUUUUUCUUUAUGCAUU
This 1004-nucleotide long non-coding RNA is filed under the name Homo sapiens (human). Its description in RNAcentral is "long non-coding RNA NONHSAT198142.1". Lineage: Eukaryota; Metazoa; Chordata; Mammalia; Primates; Hominidae. The record is from RNAcentral.